GGUUUGCUGCGGGUCUCGUGGAAACCAUGUAACCUGCGGACCUUAAAUCAACCUCGGGGAACUGCCUCUGUCCGGAUCGUGGUCCGGUUAUGCGGUGCCCACCUGAACUUCAGGUUCACGAGGCUACACAAGGACCACGGAUUCUGCGGUAACCGU
RNAcentral lists this non-coding RNA (156 nucleotides) under Hellea balneolensis. RNAcentral's name for it is "6S RNA". It matches the Rfam family "6S / SsrS RNA". From Rfam's summary of the family: E. coli 6S RNA was the first non coding RNA to be sequenced, but its function was unknown until recently. It consists of 184 nucleotides that fold into an extended hairpin structure with a large single-stranded internal bulge. The 6S RNA specifically associates with RNA polymerase holoenzyme containing the sigma70 specificity factor. Lineage: Bacteria; Pseudomonadati; Pseudomonadota; Alphaproteobacteria; Maricaulales; Robiginitomaculaceae. The record is from RNAcentral.